RNAcentral lists this long non-coding RNA (1330 nucleotides) under Junco hyemalis (dark-eyed junco). Its description in RNAcentral is "lncRNA (ENSJHYG00000009096.1)". Lineage: Eukaryota; Metazoa; Chordata; Aves; Passeriformes; Passerellidae. The record is from RNAcentral.
CAGGUGCCACAGCCCAUCGGGGUUUUGGGGUCUCAGGGGGGCUGUGCUGACCCCAAGCGCUCUCGGGUGCAGGUGCCACAGCCCGCGGGGGUCCGGGGUGCCCAGCCGGGUGCUGGGGCUGGAGCUGCACCUGCCGGGCCAGGAGCUGAUCGUGGCCUUCGCCGGGUGCCUCCUGCGGCUGCCCCUGAGCCGCUGCGGCCGCCACGGCUCCUGCCGAGGGUGAGCGGGGCCGGGAGGGAUGGAAAAGGGGGCCGGAGGGAACGGGGAUGUGCAAAUUGGGGAUGGGAAUGUGCAAGGGAAUGAGUGUGCAAUGCACAGGGACACAAGGAUGUGCAAGGUCAUGGAAGGGCACGAGGGCAGGGGAGGGGACACGGGCACACACGGGCACAGGACAUGGAUGGCAGCUGUGUCCCCGUGUCCCCGCAGGAGCUGCCUGGCUGCCCGAGACCCCUAUUGUGUCUGGCUGCCCUCCAGGGGCUGCGUCCCCUUCUCCGAGGACCUUCCGAGUGGCUUCCAGCAGGACAUGGAGGGAUCGCUCGGGAUCAGCGGGACCUGCCAAGGGCCUACAAGGGUUGGUGACGAGGAUGGAGACCUGGCCCACGGAGUGCGGCACCCCGGGCCCGGUGCCGAAGCGACGGUUCCGGUGCCGGUGCUCGUGGGCUGCGUGCUGGGCGCCUUCGCCGUGGGCGCCCUGGCCACCGGGCUGCUGGCCACCUGCUGCCAGCGCCCCGCCGUCCCCAAAGCGCCCCCGGAUCCUCCCUGCGCCCCCCGGAGCCCGAGCCAGCCGCCCGUGCCCCGCCUGUACCCCGCGCUGCCGCCGCAGGACGGGAGCGGCCCCGGCCCCGAGCCCGAGCCCCCCGCGCUGCCCCCGGCCCGCGCCCCCCGGGAGCGGGAGCCCCGGCGCGGCCCCGCGGAGCCCCCCGGGCCGGGCCCGCCGGGCAGGGCGGUUCGCGAGGAGACGCUGCAGCGGCUGCCCGGGGGCUCGGCGUGGCCCGGGACCCCCCCGGGCAGCGGCUCCUUCGCCAACCGGGUGCUGCCCCGCGGCCCCGCGGCCCCGUUGGGCCCCCACGACCGCGCCCCGGUGCGCCUGGACGUGCCCCCCGACAGCCCCCCGGCCCCGCGGCGGCCGCUGGCGCAGAGCUACUCGCUGGGGGGGACCCCCGUGAGCCCCCCCGGGCCGCCGCGGGGCCUCACCCGCAUGCACUCGCUGGGGACACCGGGGGGGACACCCUGGGGACCCCGGCCCGGAGCCCUGGAGCGCUCGGUGUCCAUGAAACCCCCCCUGCUCCCCAAACCGCUGCUGCUGCCCGCGGCACCGGGGCGGCCCUGA